GAGUGUUUAGCAUUACACUUUUAAUGUAUUGGCUGUGGGUUCAAAUCCCGCAACACCUA
This 59-nucleotide transfer RNA is filed under the name Sphaeroforma arctica JP610. It matches the Rfam family "tRNA". Rfam says of the family: Transfer RNA (tRNA) molecules are approximately 80 nucleotides in length. Lineage: Eukaryota; Ichthyosporea; Ichthyophonida. The record is from Rfam by way of RNAcentral.